Molecule: ribosomal RNA, 253 nt
Filed under: uncultured bacterium
Lineage: Bacteria
Description: partial 16S ribosomal RNA
Rfam family: Bacterial small subunit ribosomal RNA
Source: RNAcentral
UACAGAGGGUGCUAGCGUUGUUCGGAAUUAUUGGGCGUAAAGCGCGUGUAGGCGGCUUUGCAAGUCGGGUGUGAAAGCCCUCAGCUCAACUGAGGAAGGGCGCCCGAAACUGCAGAGCUUGAGUGCCGGAGAGGGUGGCGGAAUUCCCCAAGUAGAGGUGAAAUUCGUAGAUAUGGGGAGGAACACCGGUGGCGAAGGCGGCCACCUGGACGGUAACUGACGCUGAGACGCGAAAGCGUGGGUAGCAAACAGG